This 104-nucleotide small nucleolar RNA is filed under the name Tetrahymena elliotti 4EA. RNAcentral describes it as "Tetrahymena snoRNA TtnuHACA10". It matches the Rfam family "Tetrahymena snoRNA TtnuHACA10". The record is from Rfam by way of RNAcentral. Lineage: Eukaryota; Ciliophora; Oligohymenophorea; Hymenostomatida; Tetrahymenidae.
CUUUAUAGUACCUAUUCCAGUCCGAUUGCGAGAUUAAAAUUAGCUAUAAUUCUGCAUAUAAGAUACCAAAAUCUAUUCUGGUAUCUUGUGGGGUGAUAGCACAA